RNAcentral lists this long non-coding RNA (225 nucleotides) under Elaeis guineensis (African oil palm). Its description in RNAcentral is "long non-coding RNA (EGUI_LNC021074)". The record is from RNAcentral. Lineage: Eukaryota; Viridiplantae; Streptophyta; Magnoliopsida; Arecales; Arecaceae.
GUUGCAAUCGAAUGUUGGGCUCUAAUUUUUGCCAUGGUGAAUAUUGUCUCUCUUUUCCCUUCCUGGCGCGUCAAUCUGUUGCAGCCAACUCUCCGUCACCUGUCGUCGGGAACGAACAUCUGCAAGACAACAUCCGUACUGAUCGGAUUUGUGUCCGACGGGGACCCUCCGAUGCUUAAGUUAGAGAAAAAAGUUGGUGAACAGUAGAUGUCAAUAUUCAGAGUA